This 581-nucleotide unclassified non-coding RNA is filed under the name Hevea brasiliensis (rubber tree). The record is from RNAcentral. Lineage: Eukaryota; Viridiplantae; Streptophyta; Magnoliopsida; Malpighiales; Euphorbiaceae.
GUUAUCCCAAAAUGUUGUCUUUUUGGGUAUGUUUAAUUAUAUAUAAUAUGAAAUUAAGAAUUCUAGUUUCAUCUCACCGUGAUAAAGUUUGAAUUUGGCUAUAACCUAAACUGCUGGAUUAUCCCAAAAUGUUGUCUUUGGCAGGAAUUUUUGGUAUAUCAGGUUACUGGUAUACUGAUGAACAGAUUAAUAAUUAGAGAACUGGGUUCUGCUUGAUAAUAUGCUUCCACUUUAUCAUGUGGAAACUUACCAUGCAAUUGCAACAGGCUUGCAUUGAAAUGUUGAGCUGGAUAGUAUUAGUAUUUAGUAAUUACAUCUUGAGUUGCGGUUUUCCAAUAUUAUGUUAAGCCUUCUAAUGUUUCUUAUAAACAAAAGACUUUUCUGAAUUUCAGAAAAUGGAGGUUGAGCGCAUUACACGCCACUUUUUGCAAGGCAAGUUAUUACUCGAAGUUGAGGUUUCCAUGCCCCCUGACAUAUUGAUACGGGAUGCGAUAGAAGUAGCAGAAGCAGUUAAAAAGGAAAUUUUGAGGGCAGCGUCAGAUAUCAUUCAAGUGAGGAUUCAGCUAAGAUUGGGGCAGCCA